ACGCCUUUUUCUCGCGUUGUUCGGAAUCACUGGGCGUAAAGCGCACGUAGGCGGACUUUCAAGUCAGGGGUGAAAUCCCGGGGCUCAACCUCGGAACUGCCUUUGAUACUGUCGGUCUCGAGUCCGGAAGAGGUGGGUGGAAUUCCUAGUGUAGAGGUGAAAUUCGUAGAUAUUAGGAAGAACACCGGUGGCGAAGGCGGCCCACUGGUCCGGUACUGACGCUGAGGUGCGAAAGCGUGGGGAGCAAACAG
Molecule: ribosomal RNA, 251 nt
Filed under: uncultured prokaryote
Description: partial 16S ribosomal RNA
Rfam family: Bacterial small subunit ribosomal RNA
Source: RNAcentral